UACGUAGGAUCCGAGCGUUAUCCGGAAUUACUGGGCGUAAAGAGUUGCGUAGGUGGCAUAGUAAGUAGGUAGUGAAAGCACACGGCUCAACCGUGUAUACAUUAUCUAAACUGCUAAGCUUGAGGACGAGAGAGGUUAUUGGAAUUCCUAGUGUAGGGGUAAUAUCCGUUGAUAUUAGGAGGAACACCGAUGGCGUAGGCAGAUAACUGGCUCGUUCCUGACACUCAGGCACGAAAGCGUGGGGAGCAAACGGG
RNAcentral lists this ribosomal RNA (254 nucleotides) under uncultured bacterium. Its description in RNAcentral is "partial 16S ribosomal RNA". It matches the Rfam family "Bacterial small subunit ribosomal RNA", at positions 524 to 776 of the family's 1533-position model. The record is from RNAcentral.